AUCACCAGUUAUAAGAAUCACUUCCAAGCAAUAUUUUGCAAGAUCUAGCAGCUGCCCAGGUAUAAUUGGUUUGACAACCAUUGAGCAACAUACAUUUUACGUCAGGAUCAGCAUGGAGCAGCUUCUGCUUUUUCAGCUGUUAGCAAAGGAAGAAGAAGCAGGAAAAAAGAUAGGAAGGAGAGAACAAAAGCAGGAAGGAAAAGAAGAGAAAAGAAAAGACUUUGUCAUGGGUUCAGG
This 237-nucleotide long non-coding RNA is filed under the name Sarcophilus harrisii (Tasmanian devil). RNAcentral describes it as "lncRNA (ENSSHAG00000031632.1)". Lineage: Eukaryota; Metazoa; Chordata; Mammalia; Dasyuromorphia; Dasyuridae. The record is from RNAcentral.